RNAcentral lists this small RNA (28 nucleotides) under Bombyx mori (domestic silkworm). RNAcentral's name for it is "ovarian small RNA-1769". Lineage: Eukaryota; Metazoa; Arthropoda; Insecta; Lepidoptera; Bombycidae. The record is from RNAcentral.
GAUGAGUGGCUGCGUUGUCGUUGACGUC